RNAcentral lists this long non-coding RNA (2295 nucleotides) under Homo sapiens (human). RNAcentral's name for it is "CDKN2B and CDKN2A antisense cis and trans regulatory RNA 1, transcript variant 32 (CDKN2B-AS1)". The stretch from base 854 to 997 matches the Rfam family "CDKN2B antisense RNA 1 convserved region 3". The record is from RNAcentral. Lineage: Eukaryota; Metazoa; Chordata; Mammalia; Primates; Hominidae.
AGCUACAUCCGUCACCUGACACGGCCCUACCAGGAACAGCCGCGCUCCCGCGGAUUCUGGUGCUGCUCGCGUCCCCGCUCCCCUAUUCCCCUUAUUUUAUUCCUGGCUCCCCUCGUCGAAAGUCUUCCAUUCUUCAAACUAGAUUAUUUAAAAAUGAAAAAGGAAGAAAGGAAAGCGAGGUCAUCUCAUUGCUCUAUCCGCCAAUCAGGAGGCUGAAUGUCAGUUUUGAACUAAAAGCCGCUCCGCUCCUCUUCUAGAUUUGGAAAACAAGCGAAAUUAAACUAAACCGCUGCACGCCUCUGACGCGACAUCUGGACACGGCGCGGCGCUGGCGCUGCCGGAGCUGUCGACCCGGCCUGGCGCCGGACUAGGACUAUUUGCCACGACAUUUCAAAGGAUUCCAAGAGAGAAUAUUGGUGUCCAUGCUGUGAUGAUUCCUCAGCUCCUCUCAUCUGAUCUCCGUCCUGGCCCCCAUGACUUUCUUUGUGGUAGUUAGGGUGUGGUAUGUGCCACUGAGGCCCACACCUAUUGCUGCAAUUUAUAGCACUGAUCUGUCAUCAAUACCACUUGCUGUCUUGGAUGUGAAGAUGAUUUUUCCUGCAGGGAUUCCCUCUACAAAAUUAAAAACACUGGGCAUGUGGAAAUAAUAUUCAUGCUUUAAAUUGUCUUUUCUCUUCACUACACCAGGGGUCCCCAACCCCUAGGCCACAGACUGUGGCCCUAGUGUAGUGAAUAGAAAAGACAAUUUAAAGCGUGAAUAUUAUUUCCUCAUGCCCAGUGUUUUUAAUUUUGUACUGGUCUGUGGCUUGUUAGAAACCAGGCUGCACAGCAGAAGGUGGGCAGCAGUGUCCCUUUUGAUGAGAAGAAUAAGCCUCAUUCUGAUUCAACAGCAGAGAUCAAAGAAAAGACUUCUGUUUUCUGGCCACCAGAUAUAUGUUAUCUGUGCUUAAAGAAUUGAAAAACACACAUCAAAGGAGAAUUUUCUUGGAAAGAGAGGGUUCAAGCAUCACUGUUAGGUGUGCUGGAAUCCUUUCCCGAGUCAGUACUGCUUUCUAGAAGAAAACCGGGGAGAUCUAUUUGGAAUGUAUCUAACUCCAAAGAAACCAUCAGAGGUAACAGUAGAGACGGGGUUUCACCAUGUUGGCCAGACUGGUCUUGAACUCUCGACCUCGUGAUUCGCCCGCCUCGGCCUCCCAAAGUGCUGGGAUUACAGGUGUGAGACACCACACCCGGCGGAUAGAGAGAAUUUUGACAGAUGUAGUGUCACUCUGUCGCCCAGGCUGGAGUGCAGUGGCGUGAUCUCGGCUCACUGCAACCUCUGCUACCCAGGUUCAAGCGAUUCUCCUGCCUCAGCCUCCCAAGGAGCUGGGAUUGCAGGCACCUGCCACCACGCCCAGCUAAUUUUUGUAGUUUUGGUAGAGAUGGUGUUUCACCAUUUUGGCCAGGCUGGUCUUAAACUCCUGACCUUGUGAUCCACCUGCCUUCGCCUCCCAAAGUGCUGGUAUUACAGGCAUGAGCCACUGUGCCCAGCCUAAAUGUUUUCUUUAAAAGCAAGGUAAGUAUGCCUAGAUGCACUGCCUCUUAGUAAUUUUUGAGGAUGGAUUAUUCAUUAAAUUGCUUCCCUUUCUCACAGCUGGUGAAUUAGAACGAUAGUGAGCUUACAAGAGCUUUAACGAGGAAAAGAUGGUCAUUGUUUAACAGAGAAGGAUGGUUUGGGUGAGCAUUUUUGUGUUUUUGGAGGGGAACUUUGAGGGCAAUGAGUGUUGCACCUGUGUCCACUGAGGAUCUCUGGGCGGGGUAAAAGGAAGGCAGGGAUGAGAGUGAGGAAGGGAGACAGGAGGGUCCCAAAUACGAACUUUGACUUAACGAGGAUGAUUACUAGAAGGGAAAGAUUGUGGAUUCAUUGAUGAGAUGUUGAACCAUGAAAACUCUAAUUGUAGAACUCACUUCAGACUGAAUUGACUUGGCUUUCAGUAGCAGAAGCCCUUUGUCUACUUCUCUAGUAUUGAAGUGAAUGCAAAUUUCUCAAUGUAAGAAAAGUAGAGUGGUGAAAUAAGAGUGUGGGUUCCAGGGUCAGACAACUGGGUGCAUAAAAAGGGUAAGGAUGCUACAACUGGUAAGCCCUGUGAGAAUUAUUUAAUCCUUCCAUGUCUCAUUCCGCUCAUCUGGAAAAUGAUGAUCAUACUAACUUAUGAGAUGUGUGUACAGACUAGAUAUAAUAUUAAAACAUUUCUGAUACCUAUGCAUUAUAUUGGAUCAAUAUAUAUUUGCAAUAAAUGAUCAACUUUUUAUUAA